RNAcentral lists this ribosomal RNA (447 nucleotides) under uncultured bacterium. Its description in RNAcentral is "partial 16S ribosomal RNA". It matches the Rfam family "Bacterial small subunit ribosomal RNA", at positions 29 to 523 of the family's 1533-position model. The record is from RNAcentral.
CACGAACGCUGGCGGCAGGCUUAACACAUGCAAGUCGAGCGCCCCGCAAGGGUAGCGGCAGACGGGUGAGUAACGCGUGGGAAUCUACCCAUCUCUACGGAAUAACGCAUGGAAACGUGUGCUAAUACCGUAUACGUCCUUCGGGAGAAAGAUUUAUCGGAGAUGGAUGAGCCCGCGUUGGGUUAGCUAGUUGUGGGGGUAAAGGCCUACCAAGGCGACGAUCCAUAGCUGGUCUGAGAGGAUGAUCAGCCACACUGGGACUGAGACACGGCACGGACACCUACGGAGGGCAGCAGUGGGGAAUAUUGGAAAAUGGGCGCAAGCCUGAUCCAGCCAUGCCGCGUGAGUGAUGAAGGCCCUAGGGUUGUAAAGCUCUUUCACCGGUGAAGAUAAUGACGGUAACCGGAGAAGAAGCCCCGGCUAACUUCGUGCCAGCCGCCGCAGUAA